UACGGAAGGCAGCAGUGGGGAAUAUUGCACAAUGGGCGCAAGCCUGAUGCAGCCAUGCCGCGUGUAUGAAGAAGGCCUUCGGGUUGUAAAGUACUUUCAGUCGUGAGGAAGGUGUUAAGGUUAAUAACCUUAGCAAUUGACGUUAGCGACAGAAGAAGCACCGGCUAACUCCGUGCCAGCAGCCGCGGUAAUACGGAGGGUGCGAGCGUUAAUCGGAAUUACUGGGCGUAAAGGGCACGCAGGCGGUUAAUUAAGUUGGAUGUGAAAUCCCCGGGCUUAACCUGGGAAUGGCAUUCAAGACUGGUUAGCUAGAGUCUUGUAGAGGGGGUAGAAUUCCAUGUGUAGCGGUGAAAUGCGUAGAGAUGUGGAGGAAUACCGGUGGCGAAAGGCGGCCCCUGGACAAAGACUGACGCUCAUGUGCGAAAGCUGGGGAGCAAACAGGAUUAGAUACC
RNAcentral lists this ribosomal RNA (452 nucleotides) under uncultured bacterium. RNAcentral's name for it is "bacterial SSU rRNA". It matches the Rfam family "Bacterial small subunit ribosomal RNA", at positions 340 to 786 of the family's 1533-position model. The record is from RNAcentral.